This 484-nucleotide long non-coding RNA is filed under the name Ananas comosus (pineapple). RNAcentral's name for it is "long non-coding RNA (ACOM_LNC019171)". The record is from RNAcentral. Lineage: Eukaryota; Viridiplantae; Streptophyta; Magnoliopsida; Poales; Bromeliaceae.
UUCCGUACCGCUCAUAUUAUUCAGUUGCAUCUCCCCGUAUUAUAGAUUAGAUGCCCAUGCAUUAAUAAUAUAAUAGAAAAACUACAGUAGAAAAUUCAAAACAUUUCACAUGGCCAAGAUACAGACGGUUAGAUCAAAUAAAGAAAAGAUCUAAUUCAUCGAGUGCAAAAAUAUCAAAAGAAAAUCGAGAAAAAAAAGAUAAAAAUAAAGCAUAUAAAUAUUUAUGUGGUUCGAUCACUGUCCUACAUCCACGGACAAAAACGUAGCGAAGAUUUUUAUUAUAAUCAAAAUUGUAUACAAAAUAUAUCUCUUUCACAGAAUUCUAGAUCCCUAUACUUACUCUUAUUUACUGCACCAAAUUAAUAGAAUAAAGGUAUAUUUAUAAUAAUAACUAAAUUAUAAUACAAUUAGAAAUACUAACCCACUAAAAUUAAAAAUAAUCGUAGUAAAAUUAGACAUAAUUUAAAUUUAAUUUAAUAAAAUA